UCCACGGGCGAAAGUAGUGGGGCUGCUCAGGAGAAAGAUGGCCGCCACCAGCGAGGAACGGAGUGUUAUGGAGGCUUCUCAGAUGAAUUCCGGGCAAACUCAGCCCGUCGAUCCCCUCAAGCUGCUCUAUCCGAUGGUCAACGAAGAGGAAACACCGCUGCCAAGGUCCUGGAGUCCCAAGGACAAGUACAAUUACAUCGGCCUCUCGCAAAACAAUCUUCGUGUUCAUUACAAAGGGUAUGGAAAAACUCACAAGGAUGCAGCAAGCGUGCGUACAACUCACUCUAUACCAGCUGCUUGCGGUCUCUAUUACUUUGAAGUGAAAAUAGUCAGUAAAGGCAGAGACGGGUACAUGGGAAUCGGCCUGUCCGGUCACGGAGUCAAUGUAAAUAGGUUGCCUGGUUGGGAUAAGCUUUCGUAUGGAUAUCAUGGCGACGAUGGGCACAGCUUUUGUUCCUCCGGAACAGGACAACCUUACGGGCCAACAUUUACUACGGGGGAUGUAAUAGGUUGUGGUGUAAAUCUCGUUGACAACAAUGCUUUUUACACAAAGAACGGACAUAAUCUUGGUAUCGCCUUUACCGAUCUUCCGCCAAAUUUGUAUCCAACCGUUGGUCUCCAAACACCUGGAGAAGUGGUGGAUGCAAAUUUCGGUCAGGAACCUUUUGUCUUUGAUAUCGACGAUAUGCUCAACGAGCUCCGUGUUAGAACAAGAAUGCAAAUCAUAAACUACCCGACACCAGAUCAUGGCCAGGGUCAGUGGCAAGCGGUUCUUCAUAAAAUGGUUUCAACAUACUUGGUCCAUCAUGGUUAUUGUGCUACUGCAGAGGCAUUUGCCAACAGUACCGGUCAGGUAUUCGAGGAAGAUUUUAACUCCAUAAAAAAUAGACAAAGAAUUCUGAAGUUGGUACUAGCAGGUAGAAUGGGCGAGGCCAUAGAAUUAACCAGUCGACUGUAUCCGGGACUCCUCGAGCGGGAUCCGAAUCUUCUUUUCGCCUUGAAAUGUCGACAAUUUGUUGAAAUGGUGAAUGGUAGCGAUUCUGAGGUUUGUCAGAAUUCGAAUGUUAAUCAAACCAGUGUUAUACAGUCCACGAAAGCUUACACCAAGUCUUCAGCGAAUGGUAACGUCGAGGAGAUGAACAUUAGCAACACGAUCAACGGUUCCACCGAGCAACAAUUCGUGAAUGGACAGAUCGAAGACGACGUAGACAUGGACGAGAAUAUCGUGAACGGCGUUAGAAACAACAACGGCUAUCAGAAUGGCGAUUUAAAUACCAACGGAUACAAAUGUCGGAACGGGGAGGACGUCGAUAUGGAGAUCGAUAAUACCAAUCAAAUUCAGCAACAACAGAACGGCAGUUGCAAUCCAGAAAACACAUCGAACAAAGCUAACAAGAAGCAGCUUUGUGGCGGGGAUAAACAAGCGAUCGAGAAAAUGUUAGAAUUCGGCAGGCAGCUUUACUCUCAGUCCAUACAUCUGCGACAGCAACACGGGAAGAAUGAAAGUAACAAAAAGAUGCUUCAGGAUGCGUUCAGUCUUCUCGCUUAUGCAAAUCCGUGGAAUUCACCGGUCGGAUGGCAGCUCGACCCUCAACAGAGAGAAACCGUUUGCGCGAGACUAAAUUCUGCUAUACUUGAGUCGAGUAACUUGCCACGACGACCGCCAUUGGAAGUUGCUGCGUCACACGCGAGGGAACUGGUGCGGCUGAUGUCUCGUGCUGGUCUUGGGGCAUGCGGUUUCGCUGUUGUAGACAAUAUCAUCCAAUAUUGACGGUGCCUACCCCUGCUGCCACGUCUGCUUCUUCCGCCGGCUCGAGUGUGGAUGUGGAGACGGAACGUGGAGCAGAGAAUACUUUUGCAGCAACAACAUCGCGACAUUGCGUGCCUCUUCAGCUAGAGUCCGCUUUACCGGCAGUUGGCUCUCUGUCUCGAUCUCUCUCACAAACACACGCUCACACACUCAGGACACAUACACACACCUAACACGAACGAAUGAUACACGUACAUGCGCGCGAAACCCACCAAAAAGUACACGAUAUUAUGGCAACGGGAACGAGAACGAGGAUAAUGAUGAUGCUGAACGGUCGCUGCACGACACUGUUGAACUUUGAACAACAGAGUUUCCAAUAAAGACGACCAGAGGAUCAUAGAGCGUAACUAUGGAUCACGAGUAACGAUAAGCAAGAAAACGUAAGGAUAUAAUUGAAAGUUUGAGAUUAAGAUCAAAAUCGAUGACGAACGCCGAGGAGCAGAGGAGAAAGAUUAAAGAUUAAGAUGCAGAACCACGAGGCGAGAAAUUGUAACGUUAAAAGUACUAAAAACUCGAAACGAAUUAAUUUCGAAGAUGAAAAACGGGAACGUAGUCGAAGAGAAAGAGAUGGAAAACAAGGUUGAAGAACGAUGGUGAUGGAAGACCAGGAAGAUGCAAAUAAACUCGAGGACUUAUGAUUUUAACACCUGCCAAUCGAGUCGAUCGUUUUCUCUUUUUUUUUUUUUUUUUAAGCCCUGCAGUUCCCUCGUUCCCAUUAUCAGCUAUCGUGAUGUACCAUUAUUAUUGUAAAAAAACGUGCUUUUAUAUUUCGCCCUGUUUGAAAUAUGUUUUGAACGGACCGAUGAAUAUUUCAGGUAGGUUUUUAACUUGUUUUAUCUAACCGUAAUCGUUCAAAAUACCCAUUCGUCCUCUGUUACCCACCCUUAAACAUCAGAGUCGUUUUAUCUCCACCCUUCGAACAAUUGGAACAAUCGAUCGUCUCCUCGCGAUGCUGUUUAAUUCAUAUUUUUGUUUUUUUUUAAAUUUCAUUUUUUAUAUCCUUUCGUAAUUCGUUGAACAGACUUCACUCAAACGCUUCCUUAAUAAUUGCCAUUCUAAUGAAAUUUUAGUUUUAUUUAUAUGUAACGGGUCCUUUCGUUAAGGGGGAUAAUCACGGGACUUGGUGGAAAAAAGUAAGGGCAUCUUUGCUAUUUAUUUCUCGGCUCUGUAAUUACUUUUCUGUUAUAUAAUUUAUCGACACGCUAAAGAGAGUAGAGAAAAAUAUUAUUAUAAUUUUAUUUUCAGUUUCUCGUCGAAAUUCACUGUGUUUUGUGGUUGUCAAGUUUUUGUCUGUUCGAAGUACAGUGGAGUCGCGUUAUAUCGCCGCAGAACGGGCCUGUAGGAGAGGAAAAUUCUCGGAAAUGGCUAUACAUAUGAGGACUUGAAGUGUGAACACGAAGAAUCUCUGCCGUAUAGUGUAAUAAAAUAUAUGGAAAUGCGUUGCGAAGGAAAACUUGACCAGGAGACGAUAGAACGCAACUCUACUGUAUUUUAAAAAAAAGAUAUUUCUGGAAUUACAAUCUAUAAUAAUAUCGCUAACAUUUGAUAACGACUUUCUAUGAGAUAAUAUUUUGUACAGAAAUAGCUGUCGUUCAAAGUCGAAGGUCCUUUUUCAUUUCUCCAUUCUUUUUAACAUGAUAGGAAAAAGAUAGAAAAAGUAUAGCAAACAGUCUACCUACUAAGUUAAAUACAUUUCGAUAAAUCUUGACAGCCAGUUCGAAAAACACGGUCUCGUAACUUUGUCGCUUGGUUAAAUUUAAAAAUGAAACGUUUCGAGUAUAUUUUUAAACUUUCGAAUCUUUCCUCUUGAAUCUAAUGUAAAACUUUUAAGUUUAUUUUUUACGUCCCCGUUUAAUGCCAGUCAUGAUUGUAAUUUGAUUUUAUUUGCGUUUUAUUUUUAAGAUAAAUUUUUAAUGUCUCCGACAUUCGUUAUUGUUGUCAUUGGGGGUAAUUUUUAUUUAGAAAAAAAAUAGAAAGAAAAAUGAAAAAAGAAGAAGAGAGUGGAAUGAAAUUAACGAGAAAAGUCUUGUCGAUAAUUAUUACGGUUAUUAAUCCCUGUCGGGGUAUUCUGGGUAGCCUUUCUAAUCGUGUCGGCAACGAGUCGAUUUUUGUAUCAAUUGUUAGUUCAUAAACGAAACUAUAAAUAUAAAAGAAAUAUUCUUCGAUUAUUUGUCAUUAUUGUAAUUAAGGUAGAAUGAAAGAUAAAGAUUGUUUCGUGUUAACGUUAUUAAAUUUCAGUCUUAACGUCGAUCGCAUAAUCGAUAACAGCAUCACAGUAACGAUGAAGCAAUAAAUUUUAAUCGUAAUUCUCUUUUUUUUUUGUAUUACUUUUUUCUUAAAUUGUAUUAAAUUUAUACCAUUUUUUUUAUUGUUGCACUUUUGGCAUCCUUGUUUACUAAUUGUUAUAAAUGCCGUCGAUUGAUUAUUAACUGUUUUUCGGUUAAUUCUAUUCGGUUAAAGAGGUCAUGCGUUAACGAUAACAUAAUCCUAAAUUAUUGUAAAAAAAAAAUCGAAAAUUAUGACAGUUAUAUGAUAAAAUUAAUAAAAGUUGUAUAAUUAAAGAGAACGUUGUAAAAGAAGUGGCGUUUUGUAUUUCUAUCUUUUCGUUUCACUGUUAAGUUUCGUUAUUAUAUUUUCUAAACCACUUUGCGUUUUCUCGAUAAACUUUUAGUUAAUUAACGACAAAUUAUUUCACCGUACUUUUAAAAGAUACGAUUAAGUUUCUGAAUUUAAAGAGUUUUUCUUAUUCGAACAGUUAGCUGUAUAAAUAAUUUAAAUAUGAACGAGGUUUUGAUAAAAUUAAAAUUUAGUUUUGAUUUUCGAUAAUCGAUACUCUUCUAUUACGAAUUCUUAGUCAUUCUUAAUCCGAUCGAGAUGAUCGAUAGUUGUAAAAAUGUUUUGUGCGGGGAAAAAUUUAAUGACGGAACGAGGGAACGAUUAAAUAAUAUUUAAAAAUGAAACGAAAUAACGAACUAAGGCGCGAUUAAUAAUAGUAAUAACAAUUCUAAUACUAACUAACGACGACGGAAAUUGACACUCAAUUAAUUAAAACGAACAAAUUAAUAAGUAAUAAA
Molecule: RNA transcript, 4884 nt
Organism: Colletes gigas
Lineage: Eukaryota; Metazoa; Arthropoda; Insecta; Hymenoptera; Colletidae
Gene: RanBPM
Gene name: ran-binding protein 9
Exons: 8
Source: RefSeq, a predicted model, not a curated record